Molecule: long non-coding RNA, 411 nt
Filed under: Hordeum vulgare
Lineage: Eukaryota; Viridiplantae; Streptophyta; Magnoliopsida; Poales; Poaceae
Description: long non-coding RNA (HVUL_LNC020925)
Source: RNAcentral
CUGGGUCGGAAGUCAGCCCGAAUGCGAUUGCUCCAGGAAGCUGAAAUCCAAGAAGCCAUUCUUGGGCUGUAGUUCAUUUUUCUGAAUCUGAAGCUGAAGUUAUUUACGGACGAAUUGCCACCGCCACGGAAAACGUUUCGCUCACCUCCUCCUCGCUCGAUUGCGCAGGGACCCGCUUGCUCACAUCUCCCUCCCCUUCGUGCAGUUCCGCCCCAGAUGGGCUCCUUCUAGCCGGCCCAACAUGGCAACCAGCAGGCCUUCAGCGCCCGUGCUGGGCUGCCAGCUCAUCCAAGCGAUGAGAGAAGCUACCACUGCUCCAGAACGUUUUCUGUUCGCCAUCUGAAGCAAGAAGUGACCGAAGAAGCUAGAUAUGAGAAGUUCUGAAGAAGCUAGAUAGUUUCAGAACAGGCC